This 253-nucleotide ribosomal RNA is filed under the name uncultured bacterium. RNAcentral describes it as "partial 16S ribosomal RNA". It matches the Rfam family "Bacterial small subunit ribosomal RNA", at positions 524 to 776 of the family's 1533-position model. The record is from RNAcentral.
UACGAAGGGGGCUAGCGUUGUUCGGAAUUACUGGGCGUAAAGGGCGCGUAGGCGGUGUGUCAAGUCAGGCGUGAAAGCCCCGGGCUCAACCUGGGAACCGCGCUUGAGACUGGCACGCUCGAGUUCGGGAGAGGAUGGUGGAAUUCCCAGUGUAGAGGUGAAAUUCGUAGGUAUUGGGAAGAACACCGAUGGCGAAGGCAGCCAUCUGGACCGACACUGACGCUGAGGCGCGAAAGCGUGGGGAGCAAACAGG